Molecule: long non-coding RNA, 590 nt
Organism: Hipposideros armiger (great roundleaf bat)
Lineage: Eukaryota; Metazoa; Chordata; Mammalia; Chiroptera; Hipposideridae
Exons: 3
Source: RefSeq, a predicted model, not a curated record
GUGGAAAGUGCUGCGGCGGCGGCGGCGGCUGCGAUCGGUGCCAGGCGGCAUCUGGGAAACCACAGUCAAGUCUCUUCUCCACAUUUUCCCUCUUUCUUCUUCUGACUCCUGACGGACCCUGCUGCUUCCCUGUGUGGACCCUGGAGAGUGGUGGUGUGCCUCCUCCUCUUGCGGCUUGGUUGCUCUAAAGAAACUGGCUGAGUUGUAGCUAUAGCCAGGAUCAAAGUGAAGAAGAAAUUUCUGUCUCGUCUUGUGUUCUUGACACUCAUAAAAGUAGCAAACAGAAUGGUCCAAAGGGUGUCUUCUGUUCACUUUGAAUUCACAGUACAAUAGCUGCCUUUGCUUUGAGUGCUAUCCAAUAUAAGCCUGAAUUCUGGCCCUGGCAACAGGCUAACUGAAGGAUCCUGAACAAGGCACAUCACUUUCCUGUCUCUUGGUUUGUUCAUUUGUAAACUGAGGGGAUGGGCUAGAUUGUUAUUUACCAUAUUUAAUGAUUUUAAUGAAUUUUCCCAUUUAGUAAUACAAGGCUGAUAAGUAUUAUCUUCAUUUUAAAGCUGAAAAACUGAGGCUGAGGGAAAUUACAUCAGUUA